AAAACUUUCAACAACGGAUCUCUUGGUUCUGGCAUCGAUGAAGAACGCAGCGAAAUGCGAUAAUUAAUGUGAAUUGCAGAAUUCAGUGAAUCAUCGAAUCUUUGAACGCAUCUUGCACCCUCCGGUAUCCCGGUGGGUAUGCCUGUUCGAGCGUCAUC
This 158-nucleotide ribosomal RNA is filed under the name Dirina massiliensis. RNAcentral describes it as "5.8S ribosomal RNA". It matches the Rfam family "5.8S ribosomal RNA". Rfam says of the family: 5.8S ribosomal RNA (5.8S rRNA) is a component of the large subunit of the eukaryotic ribosome. It is transcribed by RNA polymerase I as part of the 45S precursor that also contains 18S and 28S rRNA. Functionally, it is thought that 5.8S rRNA may be involved in ribosome translocation. The record is from RNAcentral. Lineage: Eukaryota; Fungi; Ascomycota; Arthoniomycetes; Arthoniales; Roccellaceae.